GUUUGAUUCAUGGCUCAGGACGAACGCUGGCGGCGUGCUUAACACAUGCAAGUCGAGCGGUAAGGCCUUUCGGGGUACACGAGCGGCGAACGGGUGAGUAACACGUGGGUGAUCUGCCCUGCACUUCGGGAUAAGCCUGGGAAACUGGGUCUAAUACCGGAUAUGACCUCAGGUUGCAUGAUUUGGGGUGGAAAGAUUUAUCGGUGCAGGAUGGGCCCGCGGCCUAUCAGCUUGUUGGUGGGGUAAUGGCCUACCAAGGCGACGACGGGUAGCCGACCUGAGAGGGUGACCGGCCACACUGGGACUGAGACACGGCCCAGACUCCUACGGGAGGCAGCAGUGGGGAAUAUUGCACAAUGGGCGAAAGCCUGAUGCAGCGACGCCGCGUGAGGGAUGACGGCCUUCGGGUUGUAAACCUCUUUCAGCAGGGACGAAGCGCAAGUGACGGUACCUGCAGAAGAAGCACCGGCUAACUACGUGCCAGCAGCCGCGGUAAUACGUAGGGUGCAAGCGUUGUCCGGAAUUACUGGGCGUAAAGAGUUCGUAGGCGGUUUGUCGCGUCGUUUGUGAAAACCAGCAGCUCAACUGCUGGCUUGCAGGCGAUACGGGCAGACUUGAGUACUGCAGGGGAGACUGGAAUUCCUGGUGUAGCGGUGAAAUGCGCAGAUAUCAGGAGGAACACCGGUGGCGAAGGCGGGUCUCUGGGCAGUAACUGACGCUGAGGAACGAAAGCGUGGGUAGCGAACAGGAUUAGAUACCCUGGUAGUCCACGCCGUAAACGGUGGCGCUAGGUGUGGGUUCCUUCCACGGAAUCCGUGCCGUAGCUAACGCAUUAA
This 836-nucleotide ribosomal RNA is filed under the name bacterium. RNAcentral's name for it is "bacterial SSU rRNA". It matches the Rfam family "Bacterial small subunit ribosomal RNA", at positions 11 to 863 of the family's 1533-position model. The record is from RNAcentral.